RNAcentral lists this ribosomal RNA (102 nucleotides) under Rodentolepis nana. The record is from RNAcentral. Lineage: Eukaryota; Metazoa; Platyhelminthes; Cestoda; Cyclophyllidea; Hymenolepididae.
UUCAGUGAAAAUUUAAAUACAGUUACAUGAAAUCUACAACGUACUACAGCCGGGUUAGUACUUGCAUGGGUGACCGGCUGGGAAUACCCGGUGUUGCUGACC